AUGAACGCUAGCGACAGGCCUAACACAUGCAAGUCGAGGGCAGCACAGAGCAAUCUGAGGUGGCGACCGGCGCACGGGUGAGUAACACGUAUGCAACCUGCCUGUAAGCGGGGAAUAACCCGUUGAAAGACGGACUAAUACCGCAUAAUACUAAAUUACUGCAUGGUAAUUUAUUUAAACAUUUAUGGCUUACAGAUGGGCAUGCGCAUGAUUAGCUAGUUGGAGAGGUAACGGCUCCCCAAGGCAACGAUCAUUAGGGGUUCUGAGAGGAAGGUCCCCCACACUGGUACUGAGACACGGACCAGACUCCUACGGGAGGCAGCAGUGAGGAAUAUUGGUCAAUGGACGAGAGUCUGAACCAGCCAAGUCGCGUGCAGGAAGAAUGUUCCCUAUGGAUUGUAAACUGCUUUUGCAGGGGAAUAAAGUGCAUCACGUGUGAUGUUUUGUAUGUACUCUGCGAAUAAGGAUCGGCUAACUCCGUGCCAGCAGCAGC
This 493-nucleotide ribosomal RNA is filed under the name uncultured bacterium. RNAcentral describes it as "bacterial SSU rRNA". It matches the Rfam family "Bacterial small subunit ribosomal RNA", at positions 29 to 518 of the family's 1533-position model. The record is from RNAcentral.